CCCUUAGAUGUUCUGGGCCGCACACGCGCUACACUGAAGGAGGCAGCGUGUACUCCUGGAUCGAAAGAUUUGGGUAACCCGCGAAUCUACUUCGUGCUAGGGAUUGAGGUUUGCAAUUAUCCUUCAUGAACGAGGAAUUCCCAGUAAGUGCAAGUCAUAAGCUUGCGCUGACUACGUCCCUGCCCUUUGUACACACCGCCCGUCGCUACUACCGAUUGAAUGAUUUAGUGAGGACUUCGGACUGGGACCGAUGCGGCUUUCGGGCUGCGUCGGUAUUCUGGAAAGAUGUCCAAACUGUAUCAUUUAGAGGAAGUAAAAGUCGUAACA
This 327-nucleotide ribosomal RNA is filed under the name uncultured eukaryote. RNAcentral's name for it is "partial 18S ribosomal RNA". It matches the Rfam family "Eukaryotic small subunit ribosomal RNA", at positions 1470 to 1796 of the family's 1831-position model. The record is from RNAcentral.